This 119-nucleotide ribosomal RNA is filed under the name Nelumbo nucifera (sacred lotus). Lineage: Eukaryota; Viridiplantae; Streptophyta; Magnoliopsida; Proteales; Nelumbonaceae. The record is from RNAcentral.
GGGUGUAAUCAUACCAACACUAAUGUACUGGAUCUUAUCAGAACUCUGAAGUUAAAUGUGCUUGAGUGAGAAUUGUACUACGAUGGGUGACCUCCUAAGAAAUCCUCAUGUUGCACCCC